UGGGGAAUUUUGGACGAAUUGGGCGAAAGCCUGAUCCAGCAAUGCCGCGUGUGUGAAGAAGGCCUUCGGGUUGUAAAGCACUUUUGUCCGGAAAGAAAUCCUUGGCUCUAAUACAGUCGGGGGAGUGACGGUACCGGAAGAAUAAGCACCGGCUAACUACGUGCCAGCAGCCGCGGUAAUACGUAGGGUGCAAGCGUUAAUCGGAAUUACUGGGCGUAAAGCGUGCGCAGGCGGUUUGCUAAGACCGAUGUGAAAUCCCCGGGCGUCAACCUGGGAACUGGCAUUGGUGAUCUGGCAGGCUAGAGUAUGGCAGAGGGGGGUGAGAAUUCCACGUGUAGCAGUGAAAUGCGUAGAGAUGUGGAGGAAUACCGAUGGCGAAGGCAG
This 384-nucleotide ribosomal RNA is filed under the name uncultured bacterium. RNAcentral's name for it is "partial 16S ribosomal RNA". It matches the Rfam family "Bacterial small subunit ribosomal RNA", at positions 355 to 724 of the family's 1533-position model. The record is from RNAcentral.